CUCAGGAUGAACGCUAGCUACAGGCUUAACACAUGCAAGUCGAGGGGCAGCAUUGGAGUAGCAAUACUCAGAUGGCGACCGGCGCACGGGUGAGUAACACGUAUCCAACCUGCCGCUUAACUCGGGGAUAGCCUUUCGAAAGAAAGAUUAAUACCCGAUGGUAUAAAGAGUUCGCAUGUUCUCUUUAUUAAAGAAUUUCGGUAAGCGAUGGGGAUGCGUUCCAUUAGAUAGUUGGCGGGGUAACGGCCCACCAAGUCUACGAUGGAUAGGGGGUUCUGAGAGGAAGGUCCCCCACAUUGGAACUGAGACACGGUCCAAACUCCUACGGGAGGCAGCAGUGAGGAAUAUUGGUCAAUGGACGAGAGUCUGAACCAGCCAAAAGUAGCGUGAAGGAUGACUGCCCUAUGGGUUGUAAACUUCUUUUAUAAGGGAAUAAAGUGAGGGACGUGUCCCUUUUUGUAUGUACCUUAUGAAUAAGGAUCGGCUAACUCCGUGCCAGCCGCCGC
This 506-nucleotide ribosomal RNA is filed under the name uncultured bacterium. Its description in RNAcentral is "bacterial SSU rRNA". It matches the Rfam family "Bacterial small subunit ribosomal RNA", at positions 23 to 518 of the family's 1533-position model. The record is from RNAcentral.